Long non-coding RNA from Diorhabda sublineata, 608 nucleotides. RefSeq lists it as uncharacterized. The transcript has 3 exons. The record is from RefSeq and is a predicted model, not a curated record. Lineage: Eukaryota; Metazoa; Arthropoda; Insecta; Coleoptera; Chrysomelidae.
ACCUCUCUACAUGCAACUGCGCGCGCAAAUGUUUGUUUUCGAUAUUCCAGCUAACGGCUCUAUUUUUUUUAUUUCCUUUGGUCACCCAUUUUUUUCUUCUAGUUUUUAACAGUGACUAAAACGUGUGUUUUAUUAUUCAAUUUCAGUGUUUUCAUAUUUCAAUAACUAGUUUAAGUGUGUGAUAAUUAUGGUAGGAACAACCGUUUAGUAAAAAAGUUAGAAUGGAAUCUACUUUAAAGGAACGGAAGCCUACUUUUUGAUAUAUAUAUAUUUAUAUAUAUAUAUAUAUAUAUAUAUAUAUAUAUAUAUAUAUAUAUAUAUAUAUAUAGGUAAACAAGUAUUACCUGAAGAUUGCGUGUAAUUAAUUAUCAUACACACGUUUCUAUUGGACUUGAUGCAAUUAUUGGUGGUUUCUACUGCGCAUUCACCCAUUCUUUUAACGAUGGCAAGAGGACCUAAUUUGGAGGAAGGAAGCAGAAACUGAUGGAGAAUAUGAAUCAUUUCACCUAGUUAUAGAAUGUCUUUCUAUUGAAUUGGGCAUGUCAACAGCUUCCGGAUUUUUUCAUUUACGUUAAUUCAUUGUCAAUCAAUUCUUAGCCUCAAUUCAU